This 305-nucleotide ribosomal RNA is filed under the name uncultured bacterium. RNAcentral's name for it is "bacterial SSU rRNA". It matches the Rfam family "Bacterial small subunit ribosomal RNA", at positions 336 to 657 of the family's 1533-position model. The record is from RNAcentral.
UUCCUACGGGGGGCAGCAGUCGGGAAUAUUGCGCAAUGGAGGAAACUCUGACGCAGUGACGCCGCGUGCAGGAGGAAGGUUUUCGGAUUGUAAACUGCUUUAGACAGGGAAGAAACAAGACAGUACCUGUAGAAUAAGCUCCGGCUAACUCCGUGCCAGCAGCCGCGGUAAUACGGAGGGUGCAAGCGUUACUCGGAAUCACUGGGCGUAAAGAGCGCGUAGGCGGGAUAGCAAGUCAGAUGUGAAAUCCUAUGGCUUAACCAUAGAACUGCAUUUGAAACUGUUAUUCUAGAGUAUGGGAGAGG